RNAcentral lists this ribosomal RNA (391 nucleotides) under uncultured bacterium. Its description in RNAcentral is "bacterial SSU rRNA". It matches the Rfam family "Bacterial small subunit ribosomal RNA", at positions 28 to 433 of the family's 1533-position model. The record is from RNAcentral.
GAUGAACGCUAGCGGCAGGCCUAAUACAUGCAAGUCAAGGGGCCAGCAAUGGCACCGGCGGACGGGUGCGUAACGCGUACAGAACGUACCCUUAGGUGGAGGAUAGCAUUGGGAAACUGGUGGUAAUACUCCAUGGUAUCAGUUGAUGGCAUCAUUGACUGAUUAAAGAUCACGCCUAAGGAUCGCUGUGCGUCUGAUUAGCUAGUUGGUAGGGUAACGGCCUACCAAGGCUACGAUCAGUAGCUGGUCUGAGAGGAUGAUCAGCCACACUGGAACUGAGACACGGUCCAGACUCCUACGGGAGGCAGCAGUAAGGAAUAUUGCUCAAUGGCCGAAAGGCUGAAGCAGCCAUGCCGCGUGGAGGAUGAAGGUCCUCUGGAUUGUAAACUUC